Long non-coding RNA from Pangasianodon hypophthalmus (striped catfish), 931 nucleotides. RefSeq lists it as uncharacterized. The transcript is spliced from 3 exons. NCBI's taxonomy places the organism in Eukaryota, Metazoa, Chordata, Actinopteri, Siluriformes, Pangasiidae. The record is from RefSeq and is a predicted model, not a curated record.
UUGUGCUCACCAUACAAAUAGAUAAACGAUAAGACUGGAUUCAGGAAGCUUCUUCAGAUGACAGCAGAGGAGUUUGACAUCCUGCUGGGGAUGGUUGGACCUGUCAUAACCAAGCAGCACACACAGAUGAGACGGGCAAUAUCCCCAAAUUAGUGCCUAGCUGUGACCAUACAGUUUUUGGCAACAGGCGAAACGUUCAGUUUCCUCAGUUUCCAAUACAGGGUUGGGGUAAGCACUAUUUCUAACAUCGUUAUGGAGACCUGUGCUGCUCUCUACCGAGUCAUGAAAAAAGACUUCCUCAAGACACCCACAACAGAGGCAGAAUGGCAGAAAAUAGCACAUGACUUUCAAUCUAAAUGGCAAUUCCCACAUUGCUUAGGUGCGCUUGAUGGUAAACACAUCUGUAUACAGCCUCCAGCAAAAAGUGGUAGUCUUUACCAUAAUUACAAGUCCAGCUUCUCUAUAAUAAUGAUGGCUGCUGUGGAUGCCAAUUACAAGUUCAGCCUUUGCUGACUGGGAGAACAAUGACCACAGCAUAGUUGAGGGAUCCUGGAGGAAUCAAGGGAUCGGGUCUUUCCAAACAGUGGAUCAUCGAAGGGAACGCAAUGCAUCUGUUGUGGCAAAAAUGCAACGAAACCUUCUGCGUGAGUACUUCAUCUCACGUGCCGGAUGUGUUCCUUGGCAGGAGAAACACAUUUAGUGUUGUAAGGAUGUCAGAGUGUAACUUUUUGUAGUGGAGAAAACACUGUGUUUUUUAUUAUGAUAUCUCAUACUGUAGCACAUUGUCAUUUUUUUAUUUUGAAGAAGAAGAAAAGUGCCUUUCUUAAAAAGCAUGGUGCUUCUGUUAUUGAUGUUAGCCUUUUAGGCACAGAAUGCUAUUUAUAUACUGUAUCUUCAGACCAUACAACUUGGGUGUACUUUAAAAUCAUUG